AAGUAUACAUACUUACAAGACAUUUAUUGUAUAGUCAAACCAUGGAUCCAAAGAAACAAGUCAAUAAGUCAAAUCAAGAUGUGCAUGUGUGGCGAAUGAAUGGUGUAUGGUGAUGAUGGUGAUAACAAUGGUGAAAGUCUAAUUCUACUUGUGCUAUUUUGAGGGGAUACAUACCUUUCUUGCUCUUUUGAAACUUUUGAGGGGAAUGAGAUUAAUUAGACUUUCACCAUUAUUAUCUUGUUCUUUCCUCUCAGGUGGGUAUCUUGUACCCCUAAUUCCACUGUCAGACACUUGUCCAUUUUUACCUCGCGUCUCACUUUUUCUUUUCUUUCGAGGUUCUGGGCACUUGCCCCUUUUUAUUUUCUCGUAUCUUUUCUUUCUUCUUCUUUUUUUAGAGCACUCAUCUCUUGAAAUAAUGUAGCAAGUGGUAGUAACCAAGAUAACUUAAGCGUUUAUUUCACAGGGGAAAAACAUAAAUGUUUUUUGGGUAUUCUCUCCCGGAUUAGGAGUAUAAUAUUUUUGGGUGGUUGUCAAGAUGGAAAUGAGUAGAUAUAUGUGGAUGCGUACUUCCGGAGUAGAAGCAGCAUGUAUAAGUGAAGGUGCAAGUGAAUCUUGAUUUAACCACAUGACAAGCUCCUAAGGGUCUACACAGCUUGACCACACUCAAUGUUCAUAAGCAAUAAAAAGUAAAUGUGUGGCUCAAAGUCUAACAAGCAUGUAUAUGUGGCUGUGGUUUGAAUUUAAACUCUCAUCAUAUAGGAACUCAUCAUGUGAUAUUUUAAAGAUUUUCAAAGAUAAAAUUCUCCAAAAUUCUAGCAUCUCUAGGAACAGAUAAACAGCACCUCAACCUUCCCAUAUCAUAUCCAUUAACAACUUAGACUUUAAAUUAUAACAGUUAUGUCUAAACUAGAGAGAGAACUCAAAUUUUAAAAAUUAGGCAGAGCAACUAUUCAUCAUAUCCAUGCUAGAGUUUUAUUAUUAAGAUUCAGUUUAGC
Molecule: long non-coding RNA, 995 nt
Filed under: Sorghum bicolor (sorghum)
Lineage: Eukaryota; Viridiplantae; Streptophyta; Magnoliopsida; Poales; Poaceae
Description: long non-coding RNA (SBIC_LNC014525)
Source: RNAcentral